GAACUCAUGGACCAGGACAUCAUGACCUGAGCAGAAGUCAGACACGUAACUGACUGAGCCACCCAGGCGCCCCAAGAAAUCACUUUUUAAUGGUCAACUCUAUGCAUAAUAGCUUUUACAGUGUGGAGUCACCUGACUCAUGUCUUUCCUAAAGUACUUCCUGUGUGGCACAGGAUACUUCGAAUCACGGGACCUUGAGCCUUCCAGUCCUGGCUAAACCCUGCCCCCCCACUCAGCAUGGUGGGGGUCACCCGAGGCACCUACCCACCCUAAUACAGGAGGAUGGCAAGUUCCAGCUUCUGCCAUUUCUGGACAGAUUGACCAGGUCUAGGACAGGUAGUACCUUUCAAGAGCCUGUUCCAGGAGGGGCUGAUGAGCCUCCAUGGGCAGAACUCACAAGAAACAUGCCAGGCUCACUAAUGUUGGAGGGUGACCUUGGGAAAGGCUGGAUAAAAGCUUUUUCUGAGCCUGUCAUACAGAAGCACACUGAACUUUCGGGACUCAGACUCCUCUGGUGAGUGGCUGGAUUAACAGAUAAAUACAAACUGAGAGCAGGCUGUCACCAGGGCAGCACCUGCAUGGUUGCCAGCACCCUGGGCCACACGGCCAGGGCCUGAACGCCUUGGACCGGUGGCCGCGGGGCCCACACUGGCAGGCAGUGGCACAAGGAGGGUACUUUUGGUGGACAGUGACUGAGCCUGUCCCAGCCCAGCUACUCUUUGGAGCUGUGCAGCAUUAGCAGAAACGGCCGUGAGUUAAAGCCAGAAAGGAGAACACCGGGUAUCAGUGAAGGCGAGCCUGUGAAACAUACAAGAGACAUUUCAAGGACCAGCCCGGGCUAUUUGGGAGGAACGGGAGAGAGAAGGGCUGGGAAUCCCCAGAGUAAGUUUCAGAGCCACAGACAUGAGAAUCUGCCUUUCGUUGUGAUUCUCUCCUCCCCCCGAGGCCACUGUGGUUUGGGGGAAAUGGGUGACAUCAGUAAAUGUGCGGAGAUCGGGAAACAGUGUCAGUCACCCUGCCUAGGAGGAUGAAUCCCCUAGUCUCUGCCUUCUUGUGACAUCACUGCUCCAGAAUGUAGCACGCCGUGGUGCCAGAUGAAAAGUUCUAUUUCUAGAGGAGGCACAAAAGUGCCAUUGUCUUGAUGACAGACCAAGAGACCGAGGUCAUUGUGUUUCCCAGCAGCCGCUGCGCCCCACUCCACAUCUGUAGCCCUCUCCCUCAGCAGCAGGCAGGGCCGUCCUUGGGGUGGGGGGGUGGACUCCAAGCACCAAGUAGAAUACCCGAUCUCGCGUCCGUUGGGUCAAAAUCCCAUCCAGACUCACCAACACGAGCUUCCAAAUGAGAUUUUCCAGAGCGCGUGGCCAAUUUUGUCAGCACUCUUCCAGAGCUGAACAGUUGCGGGGUCAGAGCAAGCCUAAGGCUCUAAGUGGCCCUUCACACAUCUAAGCAGAAGAAACUACAGAUUUAAAAGACCAAGGCCCUAUGGGAAGGAGGAGCCGGAUCCAGAAAACCAACUUUGUCUUCGUUACCAUGUAACACUGUGCCCUUCUCUUUCCAAACCUGCGCAGCCUCGUGAUCCCUGGAGAACUGCCGCUUUCAAAGGAGGGUUUUUGACUCACCUUUUCUGCUUUUCUUCCCUUCAGCUGCGCAUCGUUUGGCAAACGGGAAAGCGCUGCUCCCGGGGUGCCGCUCACUCUCCCCGCAGCCACGAGCCCACGAGCCCACGCCGGCGUGCCAAGACCACAAGGUCCCAAUCACGGGGGAUCUGCGUGAGGCCACCUGAGAUCUCAGAACCCAGGAAGGCCGGGUUGGGACGCCAACAUUUCUUACGGGCUAUGACCUGGCCGGCUCUUUUGUCCCCUGCAUUUGCGGAGGAAACAACGGUGGAGGUCAUCCAAACAAGAACACGAGCUCCAAAUCAAACUUGACUUUGUCUUUGCAACGCGUUCCUCGAUUUCCAGGCAGUCUGCACAAAGCCGUGCUAAGACAAGCAGCAUUGUUGGGGGCAUUGACGGGGCGCACGCUGCUGUCUUGGCACAGAGGCGGAAGGCAAGGGCUGGAGGGCGGGGGGGCUGGAAGCGUGUUGGGACGACCCAGGGAGAUACACGGAGACAGAAGUCUCCAGUGUGUGGUGGUGACUGGUGUGAGGGAUAAGCGGACAAGGAGAGCUUUCUCCCUGCUCUCAGGUCCUGGCCUGACCACAGAGCGAAUUACGCGCCUGGCUACUUCAGGGCAAGCUUGGGUAAAAGCCGCUUCAUGACCAGGUGUCUGUAAUAGCCUCUUCUGUUAUUAGAAGAGUCUGUAACGGCCCCGGAAAGGGCCGUUCAGGGGGCGAGACCGAGAAAGAAGGGAACAGAAAGGACAGCGUACUGGUUGUCCCCACAGCCUCACACCUGCCUAGAGAUCCCCUUGUCUUACCAAUUUAUUAAAUUAUUUCAACAAACCUGUUGUUCCAAUUCUUCCAAUCACUCUUAAAUCUUUGCCACUACAUGGAUACUAGAAAAAAAAAAAAUGUCUCAGUUAGCAACCUAAUCCACCGGGCAUGGCCAACCUGGUCCUGGGCAAGGCAAAGACUUAAAGUAACGUUCCCUUUAGUCCAUGCUGUGCACAGCAACCAAGCAGACUAAUAGUGUUUAGCAUUCUCUGCGUGAAGCUUACGGGCAGGGCCUCCGCGGUGUUGAGCAAAGAGCCAGAGGUUUCAUUAAACGUUAAGACCAACCCCGAUGACCCUAUUCAGAGCAGAGCAGUUAAAAGGGCUCUGAAGGCAAACUGCCUUGGUUCGAAUCCCAGCUCCAGAACUUACUAGCUGUGUGAUUUUGUGAAAUUUGCUUAACUUCUGUGUGCCUCAGUUUCCUUAUCUGUCAAAGGGGGCUACCAAAUGACAUCUACCUUAUGCUGGAAGGAUACGAGGAGUUAAAAGGAGCUUUGUGCUUGCUACUUAAUCGGGUACUCAGAAGGAGCUUUAUAAAAGUUUGUUAAAAUACAGUUUUGUAUGUAAUGCCAUACACAGCUUGGAUUUAUUCACUCAGCACUGCCGGCUUCACGACAAGACGCCCGAAGAGUCAGUUGCACGGAAUACAACCAACACUGGGGAGCAGGGAACCUUGGGCCUUGUCCGCACUCACCAGGAUGAUCCUGAAACCUAAUGGUAGCAGUGAGACUGCCGUUAAGUCACUGACCGGUCGUGAUCUCGCGGUUCCACGAGUUCAAGUCCUACAUCGGG
This is a long non-coding RNA of Leopardus geoffroyi (Geoffroy's cat), 3223 nucleotides long. RefSeq lists it as uncharacterized. The record is from RefSeq and is a predicted model, not a curated record. NCBI's taxonomy places the organism in Eukaryota, Metazoa, Chordata, Mammalia, Carnivora, Felidae. The transcript has 3 exons.